CCUACGGGGCCCAGCAGGCGCGAAACCUCCGCAAUGCACGCAAGUGCGACGGGGGGACCCCAAGUGCCACUCUUAACGGGGUGGCUUUUUUGGAGUGUAAAAAGCUCUAAGAAUAAGAGCUGGGCAAGACCGGUGCCAGCAGCCGCGGUAA
Molecule: ribosomal RNA, 151 nt
Filed under: uncultured methanogenic archaeon
Lineage: Archaea; Methanobacteriati; Methanobacteriota
Description: partial 16S ribosomal RNA
Rfam family: Archaeal small subunit ribosomal RNA
Source: RNAcentral